RNAcentral lists this ribosomal RNA (637 nucleotides) under uncultured bacterium. RNAcentral's name for it is "bacterial SSU rRNA". It matches the Rfam family "Bacterial small subunit ribosomal RNA", at positions 37 to 700 of the family's 1533-position model. The record is from RNAcentral.
UGGCGGCAGGCUUAACACAUGCAAGUCGAACGCCCGAGCAAUCGGGAGUGGCAGACGGGUGAGUAACACGUGGGAACAUACCCUUUGGUUCGGAACAACGCCGGGAAACUGGCGCUAAUACCGGAUACGCCCUUUGGGGGAAAGGCUUGCCGCCGAAGGAGUGGCCCGCGUUCGAUUAGCUAGAUGGCGGGGUAACGGCCCACCAUGGCGACGAUCGAUAGCUGGUCUGAGAGGAUGGCCAGCCACAUUGGGACUGAGACACGGACCAGACUCCUACGGGAGGCAGCAGUAAGGAAUAUUGGUCAAUGGGCGCAAGCCUGAACCAGCCAUGCCGCGUGCAGGAAGACGGCCCUAUGGGUUGUAAACUGCUUUUGCGAGGGAAUAAACCCUUCUACGUGUAGGAGGCUGAGUGUACCUCGAGAAUAAGGAUCGGCUAACUCCGUGCCAGCAGCCGCGGUAAUACGGAGGAUCCGAGCGUUAUCCGGAUUUAUUGGGUUUAAAGGGUGCGCAGGCGGCCUGUUAAGUCAGGGGUGAAAGCGGAUAGCUCAACUAUCCAAGUGCCUUUGAUACUGACGGGCUUGAAUGCAGCUGAAGUAGGCGGAAUGUGACAAGUAGCGGUGAAAUGCAUAGAGAUGUC